UGGGCCGAACUCCAUCAGCCUUUAUCAGGAUGAGAAACCCUAAUCGCCAAAACCCUUUAUUUAAACGUUGUUUUCGGUUCAUUGCUUUGCCAAUCCCGAUCUUCUUGAAAGCGAUGAUUUCCUUUCACCUUCUCGAUUCAUAGUUGAAUCGAAGUAUGAAAGGGAGGGACGGUUGAAUUGAAGUUUGAAAUGGAUGAAGAAAUUGAACUUGUAGACUUGCCUUAUUGUCAAAGCCCACUUCUGUGCUGUUAGAUCAUCAAUACAAGUUGAGUGCUUACAUUUUUCUGUACAUUUUUGGAAGACAAUAUUUACAGUAGCAUUUCAAGAUACAUGUAAUGUUAACCCCAAAUCGCUUGUGUAUGGAUGUAAAUGAAUGUAUAUAUUGUGAUUAAACUGUGUUUUUCUUUUGUAA
Camellia sinensis is the source of this 412-nucleotide non-coding RNA. NCBI's taxonomy places the organism in Eukaryota, Viridiplantae, Streptophyta, Magnoliopsida, Ericales, Theaceae. The record is from RefSeq and is a predicted model, not a curated record.